UUUACUCUAUGCGUUGCCAUGUUUUCCUGUGGAAGCAGCGGUGUGGUUGUCAUCACAGCUCGCCGGACAAUAGGAAUUGGAAAUGUUCUACGAAAAAGAAUAGGAAUUAAAAAUGCCGGCCAAAAGAACGUGUUAGGAAUUGGGACCGACAUGAGCGUUUCGUCGAAGCAAGCGGAUUCCGGUGCUAGGGUUUUGUAUUCCCCCUCGUCGGAGGGGGUUUUGCCAUCCGAUCCGACCCAGAGAGAUCCACCUCCUCAGGGCUCCACCGCUGGAGAGUCCGACCAAUUGAAGCAAGUGGGUUUUGGGGCUAGGGUUUCACUGUCCCCUUCAUCGGAGGGGGUUUUGUCGUCGGUUCUAGUCCAGAGCGUUUGAUCUCUUCAUGGCUCCGUCGCUGGGGAGUCUGAUCGACCAAAGAAUGCUUCGCCUUCUAAAUAAAAGAGAGUGGACUCUCCACCCUCUCGUUCGGUGCCUCGUCCGUACAUUGCGACUGCUUCAGAUUCGCCCCAGUCGUGGGCAUAGGUUGUUCAGAGCCGUCGUUGAUUCCGUUGGGAGAUGCCAUGACCUACAGUCGAUGAUAUAUCUGCUUUGGAGGCUCGUUUCUCCCAGAUGGUUUUAUUCUCAGAAGAGAAAAUUCAAAAAACUGCUAAGAAAUGGCUAGCUGCACUGGUGGGAAAGUUCUUGGGGCAAGGGCUUCCUCUUGAGUUUGUCCAGAAGGAGAUAAAGACUCGUUGGCAGAUUGAGGGUGACUUUAAGAUAAGUCCUUUAUCUGAGGGUUUUCUUGUAUUUUGCUUACCAUCGGAGGAGAUCCGCUCGAGAGUGCUUGAGCUGGGCCCUUGGACGCUGGCUGGUCAAAUGCUUGCAUUAGAAUGCUGGUAACCUACCUUCAAACCUACGAAGGAUUCUCUAAAAUGGGUCAAUAUCUGGCUUCAUCUUCCUGACUUGCCCCUUGAAAUUUGGGAGAAGGAGCUGAUCCUUAAGGUUGCAGCCAAAGCUGGUCGACCCAAGUCCUUGGAUCCCUAGACGGCCGGUUCCUCUCGUCUUGGGUUUGCCCGUGUCUGUGUGUAGGUAGAUCUUUCUAAGCCUAUUUGUCCAGGCACGAAGCUUCUUAUUCGAGAUGAAGAUCUCCCGGACAUCUGUUGCCUCUGUGGAUCAAUUGGUACCACUGUGAGCAAGUGUUCUUGGUGCAAGGAUUUGGCGCAUACUGAUGAUGCCAUGGUCUACGGACCUUGGAUCCGGGCAGCUCGGGUUCCUGUUGAUCCUGCUGCUCCUGGUAGUGGUUCCAGUCCUUCCAUGUCUUCCUCUGUUGCUCCUACAGAUAACUCCUGGAUCACUCCUAAGAAAGUUGCUUCUAAACCUUCUUCCAAGCCAAAUAAGGAGAUCUUGACUCCUUAUGUAGGGGGCUCAAGAUUCUCUUCUUUAUCUUUGGAAGAGGACUCUACCUUCUCUGCUGUAAUGCCUAUGGAGGUCCUUCACUCUGAGGGUGAUGCUUUUACUCAUGGGGUUGCUUCUACCUCUAAGGAGAAACGCAAGCAGUCCCCGACUCAGUCAGCACCUCCUACAAGAGCUUCAUCCUCAAACAAAGGUAAUUGUCCAUGAAGAGGGGACGAAGGUUGAAUCUCCCUCUAACAUUUCAUCUGCUCUUGUUUUAUAUUCGAGAGGGUUUGGGAAAAUAGAGGUUUGGCGGUCAGUGGUGACCAACCCCUCUCGACUGGUUGGGUCAUCCUGCUGUGCUGCCUCUCACUCUGGUUCUCAGGUGUUGGUCCAUGCUUCGCCUCGACCAGACCUUGUGGACCAUUCGAUUUUGGUUUCUCAAGUCUUGCAGGAGUUGUCGGCUUCAUCUCCUAUUUCAAAUUCAGAUGCUCAAACUGCAUGUGGAGGCUGCUCGUCGGUGUGCUUACCCAGGCCAACUAUCUACAUCUGCUCUUCAAUGAAGAUCAUUAUGUGGAAUUGUCAGGGCGCAGCUAAGCCCUCGUUUCAAAUCUCCUGCCUUUUGGGCCUCUUGUAUGUGAUCUUUGUGGAUCUGCUGUGGAGGAUUGUCAACAUGUGAUUAUCACUUAUUAUUUUGCUCAAGCUUACUGGCACUUUAUUAGUCACCAAUUUAGCUGCCCUAUCCCAUCUUUUUUGUCGGAUUUGCUGGCUUUCUUAGCUCAUCCCAGGGCAGGAUCGAGAGAGAAGGCUAUUGUUGCUCUCAUGGCAUCUCUUAUUUGGUAUGCCAGGAAUCAGCGGAUCUUUCAAGGCCACUUUAUUCCUCCUGCUCAUCUCCUCCGGCUGUGUGUCUAUUUUCAUAAAAAUCAGUUUUUCUCCUCUACUUCUUUUCCUCCUGGUGAGCCCACUCAGUCAAGGAUCUGGGGUAAUCCUCAGCUGUUUCUGCAGUUUUACUCAAUGAAUUUUAUUUCAUGGACACCCCCUCCCCUUGGAGUGCUCACUAUUAACUUUGAUGGAGCAGUCACUGCAGAGCGAGCCGCUGGAAGCUUUAUAAUUCGGAACCAUGAGGGUGCUAUGUUGGCGAUAGGAGGAAAUCUUCUACCUGCUGUUGCUGUGCCUUUUGCUGAACUUAUCGAAGUUUGGUUGGGAGUUAAAUACCUCUUUACCCAUCUCUAUUCUCAGUGUGUUUGGAUUCAGGGAGACUCCUCGAUUGUUAUCACAUGGCUGAAAAAUCUCCAGCGUAAUAGGAUGAGUCUCUCACCUUGGAUGCAGGAUAUUAAAAUUUGACUUGCCUCUCUCCAGUAUCUUAAAAUAUUCCAUAUUUGUCAGGAAGGCAAUCAAGCCGUGGAUUGGGCUGCCACGACUACUUUAUCUGGAGAUUUUUUCCUUUACUUCUGAUCUAUUAUAUUUAUAUCCUGCUCUGGUCCAUAUUUUACGUGCUGAUGCUUAUACGGUUGCAUUUCCUCGACAUGGCUUAUAGGUAUUGGCUGCAUUAUCCUCUAUCAUCCAGUGGAUCUGGAUGGCCGUGGAUGGUUAGUGGUUUAACUUCGUUUCAAUCAUCUGACCUGAUGCAUUGUCCCUGUUAUCGGAUAUAUCUGAUGGUCGUUUUUGAGUUGCAUGGACACUUCACCAUGCUUAUUUGGCUUCUGAUCUUACUGUCCCACAUGAUUACAUUUAUUAUGCAUGCGGGCACCUCUGUUGUUUUUUUUCCAGAUGAUGUUUGCACUGAUGGGUCUUCGCCCCUCCCAAAUGAUGAUAUUCAAGUGUCUGUUUCUAAUGGGAGUUGGCCUUUUUUUUAAAUUUAUUACUCUCUCCCCUUCUGCUGGCCAUCUUAUCAAUGCCGCUUUUAUGGCUCGUAUGGCUCUUUGGUUGUAUUUGCUGCAAAAGAAGAUUUUAUGGUUGGGUUUUACUUGCUAUAUCACUCUAUGUCAGUGGUCUUAUUUUAGUCCAAAUAAAGUUUCAAUCACUGAUGAGUUUUGUGAUCUAAUUACCUCCCAAAUAAUUAUAUUCAAUUGGUCCGAUUCUGAUGGGAGUUGGCCUGGAUUGCCUAUUGGUUUGCUAUUCUUGCUGACGGGGAUUGGGUGGUUGGCUUACCCUUGUCUCGUUGCUUUAUGCCGCUGGCAUCACUUAAUCCCAAAUGAUGACUCAUGGCAUGUUGUCUGCUGGGUUUCUGAGCAUAUUAUUGGUUUUGGGUACAUCCGAGAUUUUUGUUCAAAACUAUGUUUUGGUACUCUAUACACAAUUUUCUCUGAAGUAUAGGUGCUGCAUCAUUUAUAGCAUAUCUUACUCUGAAAUAUCUUAUAGUAUUUUGGACUCUUUUGCUUUUUCUGUUUUGUGAAUUUAGGGCGAGGCGCUUGUUUAUGCGGUCUCCAUUUUCCCACGUGUCAUUUAGCUUGUUCUAUUGUUUAUUGGAUUACUGGGUGUGCUUCUGUUAUUUUAUUUUAUUAACUGUUGGUUCUCCGGAUAUCAGCCUAUUAUUUGGGUGGAUUACGGAUGGCAUUUGCUGCAUAUUCAAUUUCUCUCUUUGGAUUUUCUUAUUCGGUUAUUGUGUGCUGCUGCUAAUCUCUUGUCCCAGAUGAUGUAUCAUUCCAUAAUGAUUUUGAUGGAUUUGUGUGCAUAUUAUCUGCUUUUAGUAUAUUGGAGACUCUUGUUCCGGUGUUGCCGUGUUGGUUUUGAUUUUUUAUGAUGCAUCUCUUUCACUGUAUAAAGGCUGCAUAAGUUAUAGCUGCUACUAUUUUACGAAGACUCCCAGCAUUUUGGCUUGUUAGUUAUUUACUAUUUUAGGAUCUUAGGCAAAAUUUAGUUUUUUUGCUUACCCAUUUUGUGGCCUGUAUCUUGGGUUGUUAUAUAUUUUUUGAUUUCAGAAUGUAUUACUAUUUUUUGCGGCAUGUUCCAUGGAUUAGUACUUGUGAAAUAAAGGUUUUUUU
Non-coding RNA from Elaeis guineensis (African oil palm), 4352 nucleotides. Lineage: Eukaryota; Viridiplantae; Streptophyta; Magnoliopsida; Arecales; Arecaceae. The record is from RefSeq and is a predicted model, not a curated record.